RNAcentral lists this small nuclear RNA (107 nucleotides) under Catagonus wagneri (Chacoan peccary). Lineage: Eukaryota; Metazoa; Chordata; Mammalia; Artiodactyla; Tayassuidae. The record is from RNAcentral.
GUGCUCACUUCAGCAGCACAUAUACUAAAAUUGGAACAAUUUAGAAAAGACUAGCAUGGCCUCUCUGCAAGGAUGACUUGCAAAUUGGUGAAGGAUAGCAUACUUUA